UAAGAAGUGUAACAAUCUUACGGUAGAUGUCGCUAGGGUCCCCUAGACCCAUAUGGUGGAAAGAUUUGCUGGCUAUGGAUGAGGUCUUGGUGGCUCAGAUGGCAGUGCGCUGGAGUAUCGAUCCAGAGGCCGUGAGUUCAAGUCUCACCCAAGACAGUAAUUUUUCCACUUUUAAA
Molecule: long non-coding RNA, 176 nt
Organism: Cydia splendana
Lineage: Eukaryota; Metazoa; Arthropoda; Insecta; Lepidoptera; Tortricidae
Exons: 2
Source: RefSeq, a predicted model, not a curated record